This 65-nucleotide transfer RNA is filed under the name Macoma balthica. Its description in RNAcentral is "Limecola balthica tRNA-Ser". Lineage: Eukaryota; Metazoa; Mollusca; Bivalvia; Cardiida; Tellinidae. The record is from RNAcentral.
GGCUUCUGUUUGGCAAUAUUUGGUUUUGAAAACCGAUUAAGGACGUUCGAAUCGUUCAGGGGCUU